RNAcentral lists this ribosomal RNA (392 nucleotides) under uncultured bacterium. RNAcentral's name for it is "partial 16S ribosomal RNA". It matches the Rfam family "Bacterial small subunit ribosomal RNA", at positions 523 to 918 of the family's 1533-position model. The record is from RNAcentral.
AUACGUAGGUGGCAAGCGUUAUCCGGAAUUAUUGGGCGUAAAGAGGGAGCAGGCGGCAGCAAGGGUCUGUGGUGAAAGCCUGAAGCUUAACUUCAGUAAGCCAUAGAAACCAGGCAGCUAGAGUGCAGGAGAGGAUCGUGGAAUUCCAUGUGUAGCGGGGAAAUGCGUAGAUAUAUGGAGGAACACCAGUGGCGAAGGCGACGAUCUGGCCUGCAACUGACGCUCAGUCCCGAAAGCGUGGGGAGCAAAUAGGAUUAGAUACCCUAGUAGUCCACGCCGUAAACGAUGAGUACUAAGUGUUGGAUGUCAAAGUUCAGUGCUGCAGUUAACGCAAUAAGUACUCCGCCUGAGUAGUACGUUCGCAAGAAUGAAACUCAAAUGAAUUGACGGGG